RNAcentral lists this ribosomal RNA (1365 nucleotides) under uncultured soil eukaryote. RNAcentral describes it as "SSU rRNA". It matches the Rfam family "Eukaryotic small subunit ribosomal RNA", at positions 11 to 1119 of the family's 1831-position model. The record is from RNAcentral.
AUUCUGCCAGUAGUCAUAUGCUUGUCUCAAAGAUUAAGCCAUGCAUGUCUAAGUUUAAGCAAUUAAACGGCGAAACUGCGAAUGGCUCAUUAAAUCAGUUAUCGUUUAUUUGAUAGUACCUUACUACUUGGAUAACCGUGGUAAUUCUAGAGCUAAUACAUGCGAAAAAUCCCGACUUCGGAAGGGAUGUAUUUAUUAGAUAAAAAACCAAUGCCCUUUGGGCUCCUUGGUGAUUCAUAAUAACUCAACGAAUCGCAUGGCCUUGCGCCGGCGAUGGUUCAUUCAAAUUUCUGCCCUAUCAACUUUCGAUUGGAAGGUAGUGUCCUCCAAUGGUUUCGACGGGUAACGAAGAAUUAGGGUUCGAUCUCGGAGAGGAAGCCUGAGAAACGGCUUACACAUCCAAGGAAGGCAGCAGGCGCGCAAAUUACCCAAUCCCAAUUCGGGGAGGUAGUGACAAUAAAUACUGAUGCAGGGCUCUUUAGGGUCUUGCAAUUGGAAUGAGUACAAUUUAAAUCCCUUAACGAGGAACAAUUGGAGGGCAAGUCUGGUGCCAGCAGCCGCGGUAAUUCGAGCUCCAAUAGCGUAUAUUAAAGUUGUUGCAGUUAAAAAGCUCGUAGUCGAACUUCGGAACGGACGGAACCAGCCUUCUCUUCGCCUUCCCUCGCGGGAGGACGGGGAGGGGGCCCGUCGAGCGGCGCCGGUCCGCCCCUUCGGGGGCGAGCACCGGUCCGCGCGUUCCCUCCGGUCGGCGGCUCGCCCCCGCUCUUGACUGAGCCGGGGGUAUUCCCUCCCCCCCGAGGGGUUCGGGGGGCGUCCUCGGUCCGGGUCCGUCCCGGCGAGCGGCGUCCCUUCCCUCGGGGGAGGGUUUCGCGCGGGGCCGGAAGGGAGGGCGUCCCCCUCUCGGAGAGGGCCGGGGGGAGGGAGGGCUUCGGCCUUUCCUCUCCUUCCCUCUCCCUCGUUCUCGGUUCUCGCGGAGCUCCGACCCGUUUACCUCGAAUAAAUCAGAGUGUUCAAAGCGGGCAAGUCCAGGCCCGAAUACGUCAGCAUGGGAUAAUGGAACAGGACUCGGGUCCUAUUUUUCCGUCGGUUCGUAAGGCUCGAGUAAUGAUCGAUAGGGACGGUCGGGGGCGUUGGUAUUUAAUUGUCAGAGGUGAAAUUCUCGGAUUCAGGAAAGACCGACUUCAGCGAAAGCAUUCGCCAAGGACGUUUUCAUUGAUCAAGAACGAAAGUUAGGGGAUCGAAGACGAUCAGAUACCGUCGUAGUCUUAACCAUAAACGAUGCCGACCGGGGAUCGGGAGACGCCGCGACGAUUUGAGGGCUCUCCGGGCCCCUCGCGGGAAACCUAGAGUCUUUGGGUUCCGGGG